RNAcentral lists this ribosomal RNA (253 nucleotides) under uncultured bacterium. RNAcentral's name for it is "partial 16S ribosomal RNA". It matches the Rfam family "Bacterial small subunit ribosomal RNA", at positions 524 to 776 of the family's 1533-position model. The record is from RNAcentral.
UACGAAGGGGGCUAGCGUUGUUCGGAAUUACUGGGCGUAAAGCGCGCGCAGGCGGCUUCUCAAGUCAGGGGUGAAAGCCCAGAGCUCAACUCUGGAAUUGCCUUUGAUACUGAGGAUCUUGAGUUCGGGAGAGGUGAGUGGAACUGCGAGUGUAGAGGUGAAAUUCGUAGAUAUUCGCAAGAACACCAGUGGCGAAGGCGGCUCACUGGCCCGAUACUGACGCUGAGGCACGAAAGCGUGGGGAGCAAACAGG